Molecule: ribosomal RNA, 837 nt
Filed under: Enterococcus durans
Lineage: Bacteria; Bacillati; Bacillota; Bacilli; Lactobacillales; Enterococcaceae
Description: bacterial SSU rRNA
Rfam family: Bacterial small subunit ribosomal RNA
Source: RNAcentral
CCUUUUUCCACCGGAGCUUGCUCCACCGGAAAAAGANGAGUGGCGAACGGGUGAGUAACACGUGGGUAACCUGCCCAUCAGAAGGGGAUAACACUUGGAAACAGGUGCUAAUACCGUAUAACAAUCNAAACCGCAUGGUUUUGAUUUGAAAGGCGCUUUCGGGUGUCGCUGAUGGAUGGACCCGCGGUGCAUUAGCUAGUUGGUGAGGUAACGGCUCACCAAGGCCACGAUGCAUAGCCGACCUGAGAGGGUGAUCGGCCACAUUGGGACUGAGACACGGCCCAAACUCCUACGGGAGGCAGCAGUAGGGAAUCUUCGGCAAUGGACGAAAGUCUGACCGAGCAACGCCGCGUGAGUGAAGAAGGUUUUCGGAUCGUAAAACUCUGUUGUUAGAGAAGAACAAGGAUGAGAGUAACUGUUCAUCCCUUGACGGUAUCUAACCAGAAAGCCACGGCUAACUACGUGCCAGCAGCCGCGGUAAUACGUAGGUGGCAAGCGUUGUCCGGAUUUAUUGGGCGUAAAGCGAGCGCAGGCGGUUUCUUAAGUCUGAUGUGAAAGCCCCCGGCUCAACCGGGGAGGGUCAUUGGAAACUGGGAGACUUGAGUGCAGAAGAGGAGAGUGGAAUUCCAUGUGUAGCGGUGAAAUGCGUAGAUAUAUGGAGGAACACCAGUGGCGAAGGCGGCUCUCUGGUCUGUAACUGACGCUGAGGCUCGAAAGCGUGGGGAGCAAACAGGAUUAGAUACCCUGGUAGUCCACGCCGUAAACGAUGAGUGCUAAGUGUUGGAGGGUUUCCGCCCUUCAGUGCUGCAGCUAACGCAUUAAGCACUCCGCCUGGGG